RNAcentral lists this ribosomal RNA (253 nucleotides) under uncultured prokaryote. RNAcentral's name for it is "partial 16S ribosomal RNA". It matches the Rfam family "Bacterial small subunit ribosomal RNA", at positions 524 to 776 of the family's 1533-position model. The record is from RNAcentral.
UACGUAGGGUGCAAGCAUUGUCCGGAUUUAUUGGGCGUAGAGAGCUCGUAGGCGGCUUGUCACGUCGGGUGUGAAAACUCGGGGCUUAACCCCGAGCCUGCACUCGAUACGGGCUAGCUAGAGUGUUGCAGGGGAGACUGGAAUUCCUGGUGUAGCGGUGAAAUGCGCAGAUAUCAGGAGGAACACCGGUGGCGAAGGCGGGUCUCUGGGCAACUACUGACGCUGAGGAGCGAAAGCGUGGGGAGCGAACAGG